UACAGAGGGUGCAAGCGUUAAUCGGAAUUACUGGGCGAAAAGCGUGCGUAGACGGUCAUGUAAGUCGGGUGUGAAAGCCCCGGGCUCAACCUGGGAAUUGCAUUCGAGACUGCAUGGCUAGGAUGCGGAAGAGGGAAGCGGAAUUUCCGGUGUAGCGGUGAAAUGCGUAGAUAUCGGAAGGAACACCAGUGGCGAAAGCGGCUUCCUGGUCCAGCAUCGACGUUCAGGCACGAAAGCGUGGGGAGCAAACAGG
RNAcentral lists this ribosomal RNA (253 nucleotides) under uncultured bacterium. RNAcentral's name for it is "partial 16S ribosomal RNA". It matches the Rfam family "Bacterial small subunit ribosomal RNA", at positions 524 to 776 of the family's 1533-position model. The record is from RNAcentral.